This 253-nucleotide ribosomal RNA is filed under the name uncultured Fluviicola sp. Its description in RNAcentral is "partial 16S ribosomal RNA". It matches the Rfam family "Bacterial small subunit ribosomal RNA", at positions 524 to 776 of the family's 1533-position model. The record is from RNAcentral. Lineage: Bacteria; Pseudomonadati; Bacteroidota; Flavobacteriia; Flavobacteriales; Crocinitomicaceae.
UACGGAGGGUGCAAGCGUUAUCCGGAAUCAUUGGGUUUAAAGGGUCCGCAGGCGGUCCUAUAAGUCAGUGGUGAAAUCUCUCAGCUUAACUGAGAAACUGCCAUUGAUACUGUAGGACUUGAAUUUGGUCGAAGUGGGCGGAAUAUGACAUGUAGCGGUGAAAUGCAUAGAUAUGUCAUAGAACACCGAUAGCGAAGGCAGCUCACUAGGCCAACAUUGACGCUCAUGGACGAAAGCGUGGGGAGCAAACAGG